This is a long non-coding RNA of Dermacentor andersoni, 2237 nucleotides long. RefSeq lists it as uncharacterized. Lineage: Eukaryota; Metazoa; Arthropoda; Arachnida; Ixodida; Ixodidae. The record is from RefSeq and is a predicted model, not a curated record.
CUAGCAAGCGGAGUGUUAUGCAGCGCCUGGAGAAUAUAUGUGCACAUGAAGGUGAGAAUUUAACAUUUGAAAUUUAGCGUUAGGAAAUCAGCUUUUAUGGUAAACAGUACUCAAUGAAAACAGUGAACAGACAGUAUCAAUAUAGGGCCAGGAAAUACCUCGAGUAAAAGAACACAAAUACCUCAGUAUACACUAAAAAAUAAUCCACGCUUAAUCUCACGCUAAACUGUGAGUUUUAGCGUGACGCGCAUGUAAGUGAGGCGCGGACAAAGACAAUUGCACACGGUAAUAACAGGUGUACAAUAAUGAACAAGUACAAAAGGAAACAAAAGAUUAUACAAUAUUUAUACAAUACUCCCAAAAAAGAAAACAGAACCUACAUGCUAACGUGCAUAGCACCCAAAGUACUGUUCGACGCAUUGAAGAGGUCAAAAUUAUUGUUUACAUAAGCUAUAUACAUAUUCGUAUAGAGCUAUCAAUCCCUCCAAAAUAUUACACAGACGCACGCACGCACGCACGUGCACAGCACACACGCCAAAAGGAAACGGCGACGCGCUCACAGGAAGCGCCUGACAAAAAAAGAAAAAAAAGGAAAAGUGUGGGGAACCGAGGUCGUAUGCGCUGUCGCAUCUCCCUCUCCCAGAAGGAAUGAAGACGUUCUUGGAACGCAGGGACGGGCGAUUCUCUCUGUCAGCAUCAGCUCCCACCAGCGAGGACGGGGCGAGAAAGCGAAGCGGGACUUUCCUUGCUGUCUAUUUUUUCUUCGUCACGCUCAACGCCGGCUGCCCGCAGGGGCGCAGGCGAGUUCCCACCAAAUGGCGCGGGGGCGCAAGCAGUUGCGUGAGUUGCCGCCAAAUGCUAGCUCUGGAUGCCAGCUCGUUCCGCGUCUCUUGGUAGACUAGUUGGUGCAUUUCUGUUAUCAUGGACUGCGCAUAUAAACGCAAACUACACAAAAGUGACAUGGACAAAAACAGCGCAAGCCCUUUCCAUGCAGUGGAGCCGCCGUAUACAUAUAUAUAUAUCUCGCCGUUCAAAAUAUGCGUACUCGAAACACUGGAACGACACUGCUUAAGUUGAAGCACAGUGUGCGAAUGACCUGCUACGCUCGGAACUGUUACCACCAUUCGGGAAGAAAUCAGAUGAAAAAACAAAACUGUAAAUGCCUGUACGAUAUACGUCUGGUGCAUUGCAGGUAAGAAUGGAUUGUGUGUGGCACAUCUCCGCAUGUGAACUAGAGUAGAUCUAGGAACAUCAGACAAGAAGCCGCGUAUGUGAAACCCUGCGGAUAGCCCAUAUGUAAGUUGUUCCUCAAUUUUUCUGUUGUUGCAUUUUCGUAGUUUACGUGUAAUACUUUGUCACCGCGGUCUCGACGUUAUGUAUACCUAUACAUUUGUCUCGUGGCAGUCUGCGUGCUAUUUUGUUUGUGCAACUGUGUUGUAUUCAUUUAUCACGCUGCCUGGAUGUUCUUUUUUUUUUUUAAUGAUAUUCUGAGCCAAGCCAGUAAAUCUAUCCUUCCUGUCCUCAUGUUUCCUUGGGCGGCUCUAAAGUGUAUCUUAGAGGAAUAUUUAGCUUCAGAUUCCCGCAUGGAACAGAUGGUGAGUGACAUGCUGUGUUUUCUAUGUAUUCAUGUUUAUAUUUGGCUGAUUUUCAUUUUGUCAUUGAUACGAUACCGCAGCCAUAUGUCGUUCUGUCAUAGAACGUUGUUUCUAGAUAUAUUUGUUUUAUGUGGUUAAAACAUUUAAAACGAGAGCGAUCAUAUUUCUUAUCCUGACCAUUAUUUUUUACAGACCACGAUAACCACGUAUUUGGAUGUCUGGUUUAGCUCUACAUGCGCUGAUUCGUGCAGGUGAACUUUUUUUCCAGAUACGCAGGAACGGACACCGGUCAUGCCGUGCGCACUCUUCUGCAGGGCAUACUUACAAAUGAAGCUGCACUGCAGUUCAGCUGGAAAGGGUCGCAGGGGAGGAAGCACGCCUUCGUGAAGCUCCCGGCCCCCCAUCACGAAUCUCAUUCUAACAUCUGUGAGGAGCACCUUCCCAGACGCGAUCACUGGCUUCAGUGGCUGGAGUCACGAAAUGCUGGUUAGUCGGAGCAGCUGACAGGGAUGGAGGCCGGAACGAGAGAAGGCGUCGUGACCCCGCUUCAAGCCCACCAUGAACUAGCGUUUGAAACUUUUGUGAACGUGUGGGUGUACAUAUCCAAGACAAAUACAAGAAAUAAAGACCUGUAUAAGAACA